RNAcentral lists this ribosomal RNA (468 nucleotides) under uncultured bacterium. RNAcentral's name for it is "partial 16S ribosomal RNA". It matches the Rfam family "Bacterial small subunit ribosomal RNA", at positions 28 to 507 of the family's 1533-position model. The record is from RNAcentral.
GACGAACGCUGGCGGCGUGCUUAACACAUGCAAGUCGAACGGAAAGGCCCUGCCUUUGUGGGGUGCUCGAGUGGCGAACGGGUGAGUAACACGUGCGUAACCUGCCCUUGACUUUGGGAUAACUUCCGGAAACUGGGGCUAAUACCGGAUAGGAGCUCCUGCUGCAUGGUGGGGGUUGGAAAGUUUCGGCGGUUGGGGAUGGGCUCGCGGCUUAUCAGCUUGUUGGUGGGGUAGUGGCUUACCAAGGCUUUGACGGGUAGCCGGCCUGAGAGGGUGACCGGCCACAUUGGGACUGAGAUACGGCCCAGACUCCUACGGGAGGCAGCAGUGGGGAAUAUUGCACAAUGGGCGGAAGCCUGAUGCAGCAACGCCGCGUGCGGGAUGACGGCCUUCGGGUUGUAAACCGCUUUCGCCUGUGACGAAGCGUGAGUGACGGUAAUGGGUAAAGAAGCACCGGCUAACUACGUG